This 73-nucleotide transfer RNA is filed under the name Marmota monax (woodchuck). RNAcentral's name for it is "tRNA.Ala". Lineage: Eukaryota; Metazoa; Chordata; Mammalia; Rodentia; Sciuridae. The record is from RNAcentral.
GGAUGUGGCUCAAGCGGUGGCGCGCUCGCCUGGCAUGUGUGCGGCCUGGGUUCAAUUCUCAGGACCACAUACA